CUUCCUCUCCCUCUCCUUCCUCCUUGAGGCAAAACCAUAUCAUUGCUUAGUUUUGACUAUGUUCUUUUGAUCAUUGUGAGAAAGCAUCAUUGUAAGAUGUACAAGAAACGUGUUGUGGUGCAUUAUCCCCUUCUCUACCACCUAAAAUCUAUUUUACACGAUCAUAAGGACCAAGGUGUUUUAAGCAUCAGGUAAGGAAUUUGUUGACAAUGAUGUGAGAGAUAGAGACAUGCAACAUACCGGUAUUCAAAAGACGUGAUGUUCUUCUUUUGCAUUUGACAAUAUUCAUUUAGUCUGAACUCCAUAUUUGAGCAACUUAGAAUCUCCACCUUCAUUAGGAUUGCAGGAAGUUGGCUUCUUGGAAAGACAUGGAAAGGGAGCAUCUAGAAAUCUGAAAGAAUUCCAGAGGCUUGUUGCUACUUUUGAAUCAUUCCAAUCAAUAGCAACUCCAAAAGAUAUAUACAAAUCUAUCCCUGGAAAAGAGAUGUGUCCUGUGCAUAUGCAACCAUCUCUCUAAUAGACUCGGGAUUGUGCAUCCUCAUGGUAGUUUCAUAUAUAUUGCACCAUAUGAAUUGUAGAUAUCCAACUACCAAUAUCACUACACCUGAAUGAACUAGGAGUUAUGCUGAAAGUGAAUUUGGACAACCCAUCAUCGAAAGAAUCCUGUAGGAAUACACCAAAAAGAAAAUCUUAUUAACAUAAAUGAAUUCAUCCCGCUAAUGGAUAAAGUUGCCUAAAAAAUUAAAUUGGGAGAGAUAGAAAUAUUGAUGCUUACAUGGGACUGUGAGAGGGACCAACAAGUGGAACAAACAUUGAAUAGUAAAUGUAAAACCAUAAAGCUCGUAACUGUUGUCAAAAGCUGCUCUCUACUGAAGUUUUUUUAACAAUAAAGGUAAGUAGAAAAUUCACCUAAUAGCUCCACUUGUAGGAAAUUUCAAUGGUGUGAAACUAGGAUAUGGUGAACUCACUUUUGCUAAUGCAGUGAACCAUUAUGGAUAAAAAAUGAAUCUCACCAUCAGUUUUCACAUAGGAGAUGUGGGCUCUCUUUGGCCCAUUUCUCAGUAUUGGAUCUAAGAGUUUUGUCUCUCAUAUAUGGUUCCACUUGCCAAAUACAAUGGAGCUUAGCUGAUGACAACACAUUCAGAAAAAUGCAAGAAUUCCAAAGACAUGUUUUGUGCUAUCAUGAAUCAUUCCAAUCAAUAAGGAAUCGAAGUGCUAUAAUUUUGAAUUGUCUUAGGGAACAUACCCCAAUUCAAUCUUGCGGAAGUAAACUGUCUUGAGCACCAACUCAAUUCUGAGAUCUUUGGAAGACUUGAGACACCAAUUCAAUAAAAAAUGCUAGUUGUUUUUGUGGUAGAUUGUCUUCCUCCACUAAUACUGGGGAAAAUGCUUUUGAAAACCAUUAAUCUGAAAAUUACAGAGGAAAAUGAGAUUAUGUUGUUAUUGUAUCUCCAAUCUCCUUGACAUAAAUAGAUAUUUCCUUGCAACCAACAAUUUCUAAUUCUAUCACUUCUAUUCUAGCAUGUGAUUUAGGAAGAGAAUUAAGGUUCAGAAUAUUGCCAACAUGCAAGGAAUUGACAAAGGCCAAGUGGGCAGCCAUAAUAGUUAGUUCACAAACAAAUGACACCAUUGGAAGUGGAACACAAAACAUAAACUUCAAAAAUAAAACAUGUAUCCCACAAUCAUAAAUACCAAGGUGUUUAAGCAUCAAGUAAGGCAUCUCUUGACAAUGAUGUGAGAGAGAGACAUGCAACAUACCAGUAUUCAAGAGAACUAGUAUUCUUCUUUUGCAUUAGGCAACAUUCAUCUAUUCUACACUCCAAAUUUUAGCAACUCAGGAUCUCCAC
Molecule: long non-coding RNA, 1847 nt
Filed under: Vitis vinifera (wine grape)
Lineage: Eukaryota; Viridiplantae; Streptophyta; Magnoliopsida; Vitales; Vitaceae
Description: long non-coding RNA (VVIN_LNC004168)
Source: RNAcentral